Molecule: ribosomal RNA, 207 nt
Filed under: uncultured bacterium
Lineage: Bacteria
Description: partial 16S ribosomal RNA
Rfam family: Bacterial small subunit ribosomal RNA
Source: RNAcentral
CACGUAGGCGGAUCGUUAAGUCGACUGUGAAAGUCUUGGGCUUAACCCGAGAAUUGCAGUCGAUACUGGCGGACUAGAGUACUGGAGAGGGAAGUGGAAUUCCCGGUGUAGCGGUGAAAUGCGCAGAUAUCGGGAGGAACACCAGUGGCGAAGGCGGCUUCCUGGCCAGUAACUGACGCUGAGGUGCGAAAGCUGGGGGAGCGAACC